ACUUUCAGCGACGGAUGUCUUGGCUCCCACAACGAUGAAGAACGCAGCGAAAUGCGAUACUUCUUGCGACUUGCAGAAUCCAGUGAAUCAUCAAAACUUUGAACGCAUCUUGCGCUUCCGGGAUACUCCUGGGAGCAUGCUUGUCGGAGUGUC
RNAcentral lists this ribosomal RNA (153 nucleotides) under Nereocystis luetkeana. RNAcentral describes it as "5.8S ribosomal RNA". It matches the Rfam family "5.8S ribosomal RNA". From Rfam's summary of the family: 5.8S ribosomal RNA (5.8S rRNA) is a component of the large subunit of the eukaryotic ribosome. It is transcribed by RNA polymerase I as part of the 45S precursor that also contains 18S and 28S rRNA. Lineage: Eukaryota; Phaeophyceae; Laminariales; Laminariaceae. The record is from RNAcentral.